This 253-nucleotide ribosomal RNA is filed under the name uncultured bacterium. RNAcentral describes it as "partial 16S ribosomal RNA". It matches the Rfam family "Bacterial small subunit ribosomal RNA", at positions 524 to 776 of the family's 1533-position model. The record is from RNAcentral.
UACGUAGGGUGCGAGCGUUAAUCGGAAUUACUGGGCGUAAAGCGUGCGCAGGCGGUUGUGCAAGACAGAUGUGAAAUCCCCGGGCUCAACCUGGGAACUGCAUUUGUGACUGCACGGCUGGAGUGCGGCAGAGGGGGAUGGAAUUCCGCGUGUAGCAGUGAAAUGCGUAGAUAUGCGGAGGAACACCGAUGGCGAAGGCAAUCCCCUGGGCCUGCACUGACGCUCAUGCACGAAAGCGUGGGGAACAAACAGG